UCUUGAAAUUUAAAGAAUUUGGCGGUAUUUUAGUCUAUUUAGAGGAACCUGUUCUAUAAGCGAUAAUCCACGUAAUAUCUUACUUUACUUUGUGUUCAGUUUGUAUACCGCCAUAAUUUGGCUUUAUUGAAAAAUAGAUUCCACAAUAAAUAAUUUUUAGCACAUUAGGUCAAGGUGCAGCUUAUAUUAAAGUAGUUAAUGGGUUACAAUAUAAUUUAUAUAUACGAAAAGAGGGGUUAAAGCCGCUCUAGAAGGCGGAUUUAAUAGUAUUUUGAGUUUAAUAUGCUCAAGUGAAGGUGCUCUAAAAUAUGUACACAU
RNAcentral lists this ribosomal RNA (318 nucleotides) under Cuapetes ensifrons. RNAcentral describes it as "partial 12S ribosomal RNA". The record is from RNAcentral. Lineage: Eukaryota; Metazoa; Arthropoda; Malacostraca; Decapoda; Palaemonidae.